RNAcentral lists this long non-coding RNA (700 nucleotides) under Equus caballus (horse). RNAcentral describes it as "lncRNA (ENSECAG00000054255.1)". The record is from RNAcentral. Lineage: Eukaryota; Metazoa; Chordata; Mammalia; Perissodactyla; Equidae.
UGACCCAGGCUCCAGGGAGAUGUUAUCCAUAGGAGCCUAGCGGGAGUCAGAUAGCAUAUUGCCUAAGCAGCACAGUUAACAAUGGGUGCGUUUAACAGCUAAAAGCUAUAAUCAGUAAUUGCAAAAAGGAAACAAAACUUUAGUUCCUAGCUACUUAAUCAUCAAUGGUUAACUCUCUGCCAGUUUCAGUGGGACGGUCAAUAAACCAUCUCAGCUGAGGGCUCUUAGUCAGCUGAACUGCGAGCUGACUGCAUUCACCAAUGUGAGCCCAGAGGCUAGCAGCAGAGGAACGACUCAUCUGAGCACAGCCGGGAUUGCCCAGCCUCAGAAUUAUGGGGAUAAUGAGGCACAGACAGCCUGAGGAAUUGGCCCCACAUCAGACAAGAUGGAAUGCGGUUGGGGUCUUUUUUGGUUUCCAUCCAAGAAUUAGCCCUGAGCUAACUGCUGCCAAUCCUCCUCUUUUUGCUGAGGAAGACUGGCCCUGAGCUAACAUCUGUGCCCAUCUUCCUCUACUUUAUAUGUGGGAUGCCUACCACAGCAUGGCUUGCCAAGCAGUGCCAUGUCCACACCCAGGAUCCAAACCAGCAAACCCCGGGCCGCCGAAACAGAACGUGCUUAAUGAAGCAGAACUUAACCGCUUCACCACCGGGCCGGCCCUGAACUCAUUUAUUAAUUUGAGUAGUGUUUUAGUAGAUUCUUU